Molecule: ribosomal RNA, 2741 nt
Filed under: Escherichia coli KTE37
Lineage: Bacteria; Pseudomonadati; Pseudomonadota; Gammaproteobacteria; Enterobacterales; Enterobacteriaceae
Description: bacterial LSU rRNA
Rfam family: Bacterial large subunit ribosomal RNA
Source: RNAcentral
UAGGUUAAUGAGGCGAACCGGGGGAACUGAAACAUCUAAGUACCCCGAGGAAAAGAAAUCAACCGAGAUUCCCCCAGUAGCGGCGAGCGAACGGGGAGCAGCCCAGAGCCUGAAUCAGUGUGUGUGUUAGUGGAAGCGUCUGGAAAGGCGCGCGAUACAGGGUGACAGCCCCGUACACAAAAAUGCACAUGCUGUGAGCUCGAUGAGUAGGGCGGGACACGUGGUAUCCUGUCUGAAUAUGGGGGGACCAUCCUCCAAGGCUAAAUACUCCUGACUGACCGAUAGUGAACCAGUACCGUGAGGGAAAGGCGAAAAGAACCCCGGCGAGGGGAGUGAAAAAGAACCUGAAACCGUGUACGUACAAGCAGUGGGAGCCUCUUUUAUGGGGUGACUGCGUACCUUUUGUAUAAUGGGUCAGCGACUUAUAUUCUGUAGCAAGGUUAACCGAAUAGGGGAGCCGAAGGGAAACCGAGUCUUAACUGGGCGUUAAGUUGCAGGGUAUAGACCCGAAACCCGGUGAUCUAGCCAUGGGCAGGUUGAAGGUUGGGUAACACUAACUGGAGGACCGAACCGACUAAUGUUGAAAAAUUAGCGGAUGACUUGUGGCUGGGGGUGAAAGGCCAAUCAAACCGGGAGAUAGCUGGUUCUCCCCGAAAGCUAUUUAGGUAGCGCCUCGUGAAUUCAUCUCCGGGGGUAGAGCACUGUUUCGGCAAGGGGGUCAUCCCGACUUACCAACCCGAUGCAAACUGCGAAUACCGGAGAAUGUUAUCACGGGAGACACACGGCGGGUGCUAACGUCCGUCGUGAAGAGGGAAACAACCCAGACCGCCAGCUAAGGUCCCAAAGUCAUGGUUAAGUGGGAAACGAUGUGGGAAGGCCCAGACAGCCAGGAUGUUGGCUUAGAAGCAGCCAUCAUUUAAAGAAAGCGUAAUAGCUCACUGGUCGAGUCGGCCUGCGCGGAAGAUGUAACGGGGCUAAACCAUGCACCGAAGCUGCGGCAGCGACGCUUAUGCGUUGUUGGGUAGGGGAGCGUUCUGUAAGCCUGCGAAGGUGUGCUGUGAGGCAUGCUGGAGGUAUCAGAAGUGCGAAUGCUGACAUAAGUAACGAUAAAGCGGGUGAAAAGCCCGCUCGCCGGAAGACCAAGGGUUCCUGUCCAACGUUAAUCGGGGCAGGGUGAGUCGACCCCUAAGGCGAGGCCGAAAGGCGUAGUCGAUGGGAAACAGGUUAAUAUUCCUGUACUUGGUGUUACUGCGAAGGGGGGACGGAGAAGGCUAUGUUGGCCGGGCGACGGUUGUCCCGGUUUAAGCGUGUAGGCUGAUUUUCCAGGCAAAUCCGGAAAAUCAAGGCUGAGGCGUGAUGACGAGGCACUACGGUGCUGAAGCAACAAAUGCCCUGCUUCCAGGAAAAGCCUCUAAGCAUCAGGUAACAUCAAAUCGUACCCCAAACCGACACAGGUGGUCAGGUAGAGAAUACCAAGGCGCUUGAGAGAACUCGGGUGAAGGAACUAGGCAAAAUGGUGCCGUAACUUCGGGAGAAGGCACGCUGAUAUGUAGGUGAAGCGACUUGCUCGUGGAGCUGAAAUCAGUCGAAGAUACCAGCUGGCUGCAACUGUUUAUUAAAAACACAGCACUGUGCAAACACGAAAGUGGACGUAUACGGUGUGACGCCUGCCCGGUGCCGGAAGGUUAAUUGAUGGGGUUAGCGGUAACGCGAAGCUCUUGAUCGAAGCCCCGGUAAACGGCGGCCGUAACUAUAACGGUCCUAAGGUAGCGAAAUUCCUUGUCGGGUAAGUUCCGACCUGCACGAAUGGCGUAAUGAUGGCCAGGCUGUCUCCACCCGAGACUCAGUGAAAUUGAACUCGCUGUGAAGAUGCAGUGUACCCGCGGCAAGACGGAAAGACCCCGUGAACCUUUACUAUAGCUUGACACUGAACAUUGAGCCUUGAUGUGUAGGAUAGGUGGGAGGCUUUGAAGUGUGGACGCCAGUCUGCAUGGAGCCGGCCUUGAAAUACCACCCUUUAAUGUUUGAUGUUCUAACGUUGGCCCCUGAUCGGGGUUGCGGACAGUGUCUGGUGGGUAGUUUGACUGGGGCGGUCUCCUCCUAAAGAGUAACGGAGGAGCACGAAGGUUGGCUAAUCCUGGUCGGACAUCAGGAGGUUAGUGCAAUGGCAUAAGCCAGCUUGACUGCGAGCGUGACGGCGCGAGCAGGUGCGAAAGCAGGUCAUAGUGAUCCGGUGGUUCUGAAUGGAAGGGCCAUCGCUCAACGGAUAAAAGGUACUCCGGGGAUAACAGGCUGAUACCGCCCAAGAGUUCAUAUCGACGGCGGUGUUUGGCACCUCGAUGUCGGCUCAUCACAUCCUGGGGCUGAAGUAGGUCCCAAGGGUAUGGCUGUUCGCCAUUUAAAGUGGUACGCGAGCUGGGUUUAGAACGUCGUGAGACAGUUCGGUCCCUAUCUGCCGUGGGCGCUGGAGAACUGAGGGGGGCUGCUCCUAGUACGAGAGGACCGGAGUGGACGCAUCACUGGUGUUCGGGUUGUCAUGCCAAUGGCACUGCCCGGUAGCUAAAUGCGGAAGAGAUAAGUGCUGAAAGCAUCUAAGCACGAAACUUGCCCCGAGAUGAGUUCUCCCUGAGACUUAGAGUCUCCUGAAGGAACGUUGAAGACGACGACGUUGAUAGGCCGGGUGUGUAAGCGCAGCGAUGCGUUGAGCUAACCGGUACUAAUGAACCGUGAGGCUUAACCUU